Molecule: non-coding RNA, 45 nt
Organism: Schistosoma rodhaini
Lineage: Eukaryota; Metazoa; Platyhelminthes; Trematoda; Strigeidida; Schistosomatidae
Source: Rfam
ACCUCGCUGACGAGUGCCAAAUAAUACGAAGCCUAGGUCCGAGGU